Molecule: ribosomal RNA, 468 nt
Filed under: uncultured bacterium
Lineage: Bacteria
Description: partial 16S ribosomal RNA
Rfam family: Bacterial small subunit ribosomal RNA
Source: RNAcentral
GACGAACGCUGGCGGCGUGCUUAACACAUGCAAGUCGAACGGAAAGGCCCUGCUUUUGUGGGGUGCUCGAGUGGCGAACGGGUGAGUAACACGUGAGUAACCUGCCCUUGACUUUGGGAUAACUUCAGGAAACUGGGGCUAAUACCGGAUAGGAGCUCCUGCUGCAUGGUGGGGGUUGGAAAGUUUCGGCGGUUGGGGAUGGACUCGCGGCUUAUCAGCUUGUUGGUGGGGUAGUGGCUUACCAAGGCUUUGACGGGUAGCCGGCCUGAGAGGGUGACCGGACACAUUGGGACUGAGAUACGGACCAGACUCCUACGGGAGGCAGAAGUGGGGAAUAUUGCACAAUGGGCGGAAGCGUGAUGAAGCAACGCCGCGUGCGGGAAGACGGCCUUCGGGUUGAAAACCGCUUUCGCCUGUGACGAAGCGUGAGUGACGGUAAUGGGUAAAGAAGCACCGGCUAACUACGUG